GGACGAACGGCUGGCGGCGUGCCUAACACAUGCAAGUCGAGCGGGGACAUACGACGGAAGCGAAGUUUCGGAUGGAGCGGAAGAUGUAUGUCUAGCGGCGGACGGGUGAGUAACGCGUGAGCAACCUGUCCUUACAGGGGGAUAACACAGCGAAAGUUGUACUAAUACCGCAUGAGACCACGGGGAGACAUCUUCCAGGGGUCAAAGGAGCAAUCCGGGUAAGGGGUGGGCUCGCGUCCGAUUAGAUAGUUGGUGAGGUAACGGCCCACCAAGUCGACGAUCGGUAGCCGACCUGAGAGGCAGAACAGCCACAUUGGGACUGAGAUACGGCCCAGACUCCUACGGGAGGCAGCAGUCGGGAAUAUUGCACAAUGGAGGAAACUCUGAAUGCAGUGACGCCGCGUAUAGGAAGAAGGUUUUCGGAUUGUAAACUAUUGUAGACAGGGAAGAGUAAGGACAGUACCUGAAAAGUAAGCCCCGGCUAACUAUGUGCCAGCCGCUGC
Molecule: ribosomal RNA, 503 nt
Filed under: uncultured bacterium
Lineage: Bacteria
Description: bacterial SSU rRNA
Rfam family: Bacterial small subunit ribosomal RNA
Source: RNAcentral